UACGUAGGUGGCAAGCGUUGUCCGGAAUUAUUGGGCGUAAAGCGCGCGCAGGCGGUCGUUCAAGUCGCGUGUGAAAGCCCCCGGCUCAACUGGGGAGGGUCACGCGAUACUGAUCGACUGGAAGGCAGGAGAGGGUAGUGGAAUUCCCGGUGUAGUGGUGAAAUGCGUAGAUAUCGGGAGGAACACCAGUGGCGAAGGCGACUACCUGGCCUGUUCUUGACGCUGAGGCGCGAAAGCUAGGGGAGCAAACGGG
This 253-nucleotide ribosomal RNA is filed under the name uncultured bacterium. RNAcentral's name for it is "partial 16S ribosomal RNA". It matches the Rfam family "Bacterial small subunit ribosomal RNA", at positions 524 to 776 of the family's 1533-position model. The record is from RNAcentral.